This is a microRNA precursor of Oryza sativa Japonica Group (Japanese rice), 205 nucleotides long. It matches the Rfam family "MIR812 microRNA precursor family". NCBI's taxonomy places the organism in Eukaryota, Viridiplantae, Streptophyta, Magnoliopsida, Poales, Poaceae. The record is from Rfam.
AACAAGUGUAUUUUGUGAGUUUUUGUAUCCAAUGUUUAAUCGUCCAUCUUAUCUGAAAAAAAAAUAUGAUUAGUAUUUUUAUUGUUAUUACAUAAUAAAACAUGAAUAGUACUUUAUAUAUGACUAUUUUUAAAAAAAAUUCUAUAAUUUUUUAAUUAGAAAAAUAAUCAAUCGUUAAACACGAAAAUUCACAACUAUAUUUAUA